AGACUGUUUGCUAGACGGGUGACAUUUGUGAAAAAGUACGAAGCAGAGGCAGCCAUCGACGGGACAAGUGAGUACAUUUUUCCAUUAAAAUGUACUCCAAACACGACUAAACUACAUCGAAUCAACUUACUAAGCUGAUAUGCAUGUGAAAUAAUUUCCUAAAAGUGAAAGCUUGAGUGAACUUGUUGGAAUUCAUCGAGAAAACGAAAUAUUUAUUUUGCAAAAAAGUGGGAGUUGUCACGUAGGUUGAAAGUGUAACAGAAUGGAAGAUAUUUUUCACUGGUGCCGCGAGGGCAAUUCCAUUCAGGUGCGUCUAUGGUUGGACGAUACCGAACAUGAUAUGAACCAAGGUGACGAUCAUGGUUUCAGCCCGUUGCAUUGGUGCGCCAAGGAGGGUCACACCAAGUUGGUCGAAAUGCUACUACAUCGUGGUGCCCGAGUUAAUGCUACUAAUAUGGGUGACGACAUCCCGCUCCACUUGGCCGCGGCUCAUGGGCAUCUGGAGAUCGUUCAAAUGUUAAUACGUCACCGUUCGGAUGUUAAUGCGGCCAACGAACACGGCAACACCCCACUCCACUAUGCUGCCUUCUGGGGUUAUCAACCAAUCGCAGAAGAGCUGGUUAGCAACGGUGCUUUGGUUUCACUGGCUAAUAAGGAUGGUGAUACACCUCUGGAUAAAGCCAAAGCGCAACUAGCCACGCGCAUACACAAUUUGGCAGUGGAAAGUGGACAGGAGUUGAAGAAAAUUAGCUUCAAGGAUCAGAGUUGGUUGGGCAUGAAAACACGCUCACGAGACGCUACGUUGUCUCGGUACAAGGGCAUCAACAUCAAGGACCUGAUGCUACACACCAAGCUAGCCAUCACGCCGGGCGGUGAAACCUGGCGCGGUAGAUGGCAAAAUAAUGACAUUGUUGCUAAGAUACUAGCGAUUCGAGAUUGCAAUUCGCGUGUUAGUCGAGACUUCAACGAAGAAUUCCCGAAACUAAGAAUCUUUUCGCAUCCGAACAUUUUGCCUGUAAUUGGUGCUUGCAAUGCCCCGCCCCGACUGAUCGUGAUUAGUCAGUAUAUGCCUAGGGGAUCGUUAUACGAUCUACUGCAUGGUGCUGCCGGGAUUGUUGUCGAUACUGCACAGGCUGUACGAUUUGCACUGGACAUGGCUCGCGGUAUGGCAUAUUUGCACUCCCUGGAAAGAAUUAUACCGGAGUAUCAUCUGAAUAGCUUCCAUGUUAUGAUUGACGAUGACUUGACGGCCCGUGUGAACAUGGCGGAUGCGAAGUUCUCGUUCCAGGAGCGUGGUCGAGUUUACCAGCCGGCUUGGAUGAGUCCAGAAAUGCUACAGAAAAAGCGCAGCGAUCGUAACUGGGAAGCGUGCGAUAUGUGGAGUUUUGCUAUUUGCAUCUGGGAGCUGGCAACGCGAGAGGUUCCUUUCGCCGAUCUUUCACCAAUGGAAGCUGGAAUGCGCAUCGCUACGGAGGGUUUACGAGUAACUAUUCCGCCCGGAACAUCACUACACCUGUGCAAAUUGAUUAAAAUUUGCAUGAAUGAAGAUCCGGGUAAACGUCCCAAAUUUGACAUGAUUAUACCGAUCCUCGAAAAGAUGAAGCGUUAGGUGUCGGAUUGAAAAUAAUCUGUUCCAUUUGAAGAACGGAGGAAAUGUGCCUUCCAAUACCGUUUCUUAUUUGUUUUGUCGUUAACAGUCUAAACAAGGACAGACUUUUACUCUGCUAAAACGUAACAGUGUGCUGAAAUAAUUAACAAUCCAGAAACACAAGGUUUUUUUCCCCUAGUGUACAAAUGACAAUAAGUAACAUUCAAUUCUCAAUUCUAGUUAUCGUUUACGUGUUGUUUCGUUUUUUAAUGAUUUCCAAACAAAUCAUUAAAAUGUUUAUUUUUAACAAUGUGUAAUUCGGAACCAUACAACACCCAAAUCAUUCAUGUUUCCGUUGAUGUUCACAGUCAAGUAACAUAUAAAACAAGCAGUGUCUUACGAAAAAAGUAGUAUUAAUACGGAUUUUAAACGAUGAUCGUGUCCUGGAAAGAACACAAUUAACUGGAAUUAAUUGUAGCAAGUGCAUGUUCGUAGAACUAAAACAUAGAAAUCGUAAUUUUUUUAGGAACAAUAUGUGAUCGGAUAACGAAAUCCUUUUGUCAAGUGGCUAUUUUUGUUAAACCAAAGGAAAUACCGGAAACGUGGGCUCUUCAAGGAAAAAAGUAUAAACGCGUGUGGUCUCUAGUAGCUAACAGAACGGAAUGAAAAAGUCUUUGUUUCUCUUUAUUAUAGAUAAACUAAUGAGCAGCAGUGUUGCCGAUUUGGUAGCUUCAACCAUCGUUGCUAUUCGAUCCCAUAGGUUCAACAAUUUUAGAUUUCAGUCUGACCAAUUUUGGUUCUGCAGAUGGCGAGCCGGCUGGAUUUUGGACGAGUAGCUUGUCUGUCACUCAGCAGUCACCAGCCAAGUUUCACUCGCGUUCCGUAAUACAACAUUUUGCUCGCCUCGGACGCAGUCACUAACGAGGCGAGGCGAAGGCUCCACUCGUCUUCUAAAAAAGGGACCGUAUUCUCAAUUUCUUGGCGGAGAAGGAACAUGAUUAGCUUGAUUUAAAAAACUUAUGCUUCGUUUUGUUAUAUUUAUAUCAUUAUUUGGUUAUAGUUUUCUUUCGUUCCCUGUUCCUUAUCAAAUGAACAAGAGAAUCGAUGGAUCUUGUAGUUAGGCUGAUACAAAUUUCGAAUUCUUUUUAUGUCCAAGGUUAUCAAAGUUAGCAAAGGGGCUGGCGAAAAUUAAAUAAAACCGAGACGAAAAAAAAAGA
Molecule: RNA transcript, 2805 nt
Organism: Wyeomyia smithii (pitcher-plant mosquito)
Lineage: Eukaryota; Metazoa; Arthropoda; Insecta; Diptera; Culicidae
Gene: Ilk
Gene name: integrin-linked protein kinase
Exons: 6
Source: RefSeq, a predicted model, not a curated record